Molecule: ribosomal RNA, 497 nt
Filed under: uncultured bacterium
Lineage: Bacteria
Description: partial 16S ribosomal RNA
Rfam family: Bacterial small subunit ribosomal RNA
Source: RNAcentral
GAUGAACGCUGGCGGCGUGCCUAAUACAUGCAAGUCGAGCGAACAGACGAGGAGCUUGCUCCUCUGACGUUAGCGGCGGACGGGUGAGUAACACGUGGAUAAACUACCUAUAAGACUGGGAUAACUUCGGGAAACCGGAGCUAAUACCGGAUAAUAUAUUGAACCGCAUGGUUCAAUAGUGAAAGACGGUUUUGCUGUCACUUAUAGAUGGAUCCGCGCUGCAUUAGCUAGUUGGUAAGGUAACGGCUUACCAAGGCAACGAUGCGUAGCCGACCUGAGAGGGUGAUCGGCCACACUGGAACUGAGACACGGUCCAGACUCCUACGGGAGGCAGCAGUAGGGAAUCUUCCGCAAUGGGCGAAAGCCUGACGGAGCAACGCCGCGUGGGUGAAGAAGGUCUUCGGAUCGUAAAACUCUGUUAUUAGGGAAGAACAAAUGUGUAAGUAACUAUGCACGUCUUGACGGUACCUAAUCAGAAAGCCACGGCUAACUACGUG